RNAcentral lists this transfer RNA (89 nucleotides) under marine sediment metagenome. It matches the Rfam family "tRNA". Rfam says of the family: Transfer RNA (tRNA) molecules are approximately 80 nucleotides in length. Their secondary structure includes four short double-helical elements and three loops (D, anti-codon, and T loops). Further hydrogen bonds mediate the characteristic L-shaped molecular structure. tRNAs have two regions of fundamental functional importance: the anti-codon, which is responsible for specific mRNA codon recognition, and the 3' end, to which the tRNAs corresponding amino acid is attached (by aminoacyl-tRNA synthetases). tRNAs cope with the degeneracy of the genetic code in two manners: having more than one tRNA (with a specific anti-codon) for a particular amino acid; and 'wobble' base-pairing, i.e. permitting non-standard base-pairing at the 3rd anti-codon position. The record is from RNAcentral.
GGAGAGGUGCCCGAGAGGCCGAAGGGGCACGACUGGAAAUCGUGCAGGGGACUAAAAUCCCCUCGCGGGUUCGAAUCCCGCCCUCUCCG